GCGACCCCAGGUCACGCGGGAUUACCCGCUGAGUUUAAGCAUAUC
RNAcentral lists this ribosomal RNA (45 nucleotides) under Pseudognaphalium hypoleucum. RNAcentral describes it as "partial 26S ribosomal RNA". Lineage: Eukaryota; Viridiplantae; Streptophyta; Magnoliopsida; Asterales; Asteraceae. The record is from RNAcentral.